GGGCCCUGUUUCUUAGCAACACAGAUGGGCAGACCAUAUAUUCCAGCGCUUUUGUGCAAUGGAAGAAUAAACAUCUCCCUGAAUAAGGGGGUGCUGCAAGUUGAUCUCUUUGCUUAUCUUCUUCUAGAACAGAGGAAGGAGAGGCAUUCUGUGAUACAUCACGUGAAGUUUGUCAGGAAGUCCCUGUUUUUGCAAGUCGAUUUUGCAGGGCAUACAAGAAGCUCUUUCAGCCUAAGAUUACAGAUACAGUGCAAGAAGAAAUGUCCGGCAGAGAGACAGAACUGAUAUAAGGUUACUUUGCAGAACUGAGACAAAGAGGGAAUCAAGAGGCAACAGUUCUUCAUCUAAUCACAGUAUGCAACAGAUUUACCACAUCUUGUGUCAAGUUACUCCAGAGAUCCUUUAAAUCUGAAGUUAAAAUCACAUCUUUUCAACAUAGAUCUGGGACUUGAAUUGCUGAAAUGAAAGCAAAAGAGCCUUGUGAACAUGAAUGGGAUCCUUCCUAGGUUGCUGCUACCAAAGAAUCCCUCUCUGCCUAAAUCUGCUUCAUUUAUGAAAUCCCAGACUAAACAGCAGGGUGCUGAUGAGAAGGCAAUGUGGUAGAGACUCCACAGUCUUAUCCGUGUUAACAUAACAGCCUUCUGGUUCUAUGGAAUCUGUACAUCUGCAAAUGCUAUGGAGGAUGCUUGCGGUCCUGAGCUGUGUCUGUAUUACCCUGUUAGGACAGAUGGGAGAAAGGAGGCACAGAGCAGUUCAAUGAAUUGUCCCAAAAGCAAGCAGGAAGAGUGUGGUUCAGUCAAAUUCUCGCAGGGGUGAAAAUGCACUGUAAAUCUCGCUGACAGCUUUGUCAGUCAUUUGGGCACACAGUCAGCUGCAGCGUGGACACCUCUUAGCCCAGUAUGUGAGAAAGGACCAGUAUCCAUUUACUAAAAUGGUCUCUGAUCUAAAAUCUAUUCUUGUUGAUUAGUAUUUUUCCAUUGACAUCGAUGCACUUUGGAACUUGCUUGUGGAGGCAGAUCAAGUCAAGAAAGUUCAGGAACAGAGUUUGGAAACAGAGGACAGGAAAGUGCCAGACUUCAGAGCAUUGCACCAGGAUGGUGGGAUGGGAUUUUUGCUAGCAAGAUAAACCGGAUACCCAGGGAAAAGAGGUGAAUAGCCUGGAGAAAAGUAUCUCAUUUGGGACACACAGUGCUUUACCUAGCAAGUUCAGCCUCACCCGGUCCCAGGCCCUGGCAGAAUGAGGAUUGUAACACUUGGCUGUGAGCGGGUGAAGAUUGAUCUACCUCCUGUCAAUAUCAGAUGAAAGCAGUGAGUUGCUACAUACAAUUUUCAUGCUGUAAUGGCCUGCCAGGAUGACAUACCGACCACUUAUAAAGGAGACAGACAGGUGAGAAACGGGUUUAACCCUUCUGGAUUGUUGUUGCAUCGUGCAGAGAAACGCCACCGUGAUGCUCU
Long non-coding RNA from Cygnus olor (mute swan), 1455 nucleotides. RefSeq lists it as uncharacterized. The transcript is spliced from 11 exons. Lineage: Eukaryota; Metazoa; Chordata; Aves; Anseriformes; Anatidae. The record is from RefSeq and is a predicted model, not a curated record.